RNAcentral lists this long non-coding RNA (1144 nucleotides) under Ovis aries (sheep). RNAcentral's name for it is "lncRNA (ENSOARG00000025468.1)". Lineage: Eukaryota; Metazoa; Chordata; Mammalia; Artiodactyla; Bovidae. The record is from RNAcentral.
AUAAAUGUCAUCAGUCAUAAUUUUCCAGGAAACAGUAUAAGUAAUUUCCACCAAAUUGGAACACAUUAAGGACAAUUCAAAACUACCAUGGUUUCUGUUUGAAACCAUGUUGCCAGCGCAGAAUUUAAGAGAGAGAGAUCCUUUGUCUCAACAAGAAAUAAUUAACUUUCUUCAAAACAAAAGACACAGCUGAAAAAAGAAUAAAUAAACCAAAAUAUCAAGAAAGGAUUCUUACCUGGAUAAAGAGACAUUUGGAGGACAAACUCAUCUUCCACCUGUGAAAAGCUCUUAGAAAUGAAAGCUCGUCUGUUAUUCUUUCAAUACAGCAAAGCCAGGGGAAGAUGAAACCUCUUCCGGUUACACUUAGCAACAAGGAGCAAAAUUAAAAGCAAUCAUGAACUUGUGAGUGAUAAACGGUAUUAGAUUUUACAAGGUUGAAAGGAGGCUUCAGCCAGGCUUUUCCUUGUCCACAGAGCAGCAGGCACGGACAGGAAAGCAUCGUCUGUUAGUCUAUGUCAAGGCCUGGUGCGUCCAUCACCCUCUGUGUCAUUUGUGAGUCCUGUGAUUCGAGGAAGCUGCUUGAUUUCUUUGAGGCUCAGUUUCUUCAUCUGAGAAAUGGGACUACCUAUUUCUGUAGGUUGCUGUGAGUAAUAACUCAGAUAAUACAUGUGCCAGGGUCCGUGACAUAGCCAUGAAACAGUUAGUGUUUCAUUAGGGUUUGGGGAGGAGCAAGGUUGGUUUUUUGUGGGGUUUUUUGUUGUUUUUGUUGCUGUUUUGAGACACCACAUAAUGUUUUCUCCUUUGUACCACAGAAGCCAUCAUUCAUCCUGGAUGAAAGCUGUAAAACCUUCUCCAGAGGCAGUAUGCCCAUUGCAGAGUUCUGGAGCAAACAUCAGAACCAGCGUCAGGAAACUGGAGUUCUCUAGGCACUGAACCCGGUUCCUGGCUAUGAGGCCACAGAGUCCUAACCACUGGACCACCAAGGAGGUCCUCUUCAUUAUUUCUGAAUGACUUAUAAGCAGAGUAAGUUUUGCGUUAACCAUAGAUACACACGUUUCUGGCCUGUCAGAUAACGAUUCGAUCGACCUGCCUUCUCUAGCUCUGGGAGGCCAGUUUUCUCUCUGAUAUGCACUCAUUUCAACAU